AUUGAACGCUGGCGGCAGGCCUAACACAUGCAAGUCGAGCGGAUGAAGGGAGCUUGCUCCUGGAUUCAGCGGCGGACGGGUGAGUAAUGCCUAGGAAUCUGCCUGGUAGUGGGGGAUAACGUCCGGAAACGGGCGCUAAUACCGCAUACGUCCUGAGGGAGAAAGCGGGGGAUCUUCGGACCUCACGCUAUCAGAUGAGCCUAGGUCGGAUUAGCUAGUUGGUGGGGUAAAGGCCUACCAAGGCGACGAUCCGUAACUGGUCUGAGAGGAUGAUCAGUCACACUGGAACUGAGACACGGUCCAGACUCCUACGGGAGGCAGCAGUGGGGAAUAUUGGACAAUGGGCGAAAGCCUGAUCCAGCCAAGCCGCGUGGGUGAAGAAGGUCUUCGGAUUGUAAAGCACUUUUAGUUGGGAGGAAGGGCAGUAAGUUAAUACCUUGCUGUUUUGACGUUACCAACAGAAUAAGCACCGGCUAACUUCGUG
RNAcentral lists this ribosomal RNA (484 nucleotides) under uncultured bacterium. RNAcentral's name for it is "partial 16S ribosomal RNA". It matches the Rfam family "Bacterial small subunit ribosomal RNA", at positions 30 to 507 of the family's 1533-position model. The record is from RNAcentral.